GAUGAAGAACGUAGCGAAAUGCGAUACGUAAUGUGAAUUGCAAAUUCAGUGAAUCAUCGAGUCUUUGAACGCACAUUGCGCCCCCUGGUAUUCCGGGGGGCAUGCCUGUCCGAGCGUCAUUGCUGCCUCAAGCACGGCUUGUGUGUUGGGCCCCGUCCUCCGAUCCCGGGGGACGGGCCCGAAAGGCAGCGGCGGCACCGCGUCCGGUCCUCGAGCGUAUGGGGCUUUGUCACCCGCUCUGUAGGCCCGGCCGGCGCUUGCCGAUCAACCCAAAUUUUUAUCCAGGUUGACCUCGGAUCAGGUAGGGAUACCCGCUGAACUUAAGCAUAUCAAUAAGCGGAGGA
RNAcentral lists this unclassified non-coding RNA (344 nucleotides) under soil metagenome. RNAcentral describes it as "partial contains 5.8S ribosomal RNA, internal transcribed spacer 2, and large subunit ribosomal RNA". The stretch from base 1 to 119 matches the Rfam family "5.8S ribosomal RNA", at positions 35 to 154 of the family's 154-position model. The record is from RNAcentral.